AGGGGAUAACACUUGGAAACAGGUGCUAAUACCGUAUAACAACCAAACCACCUGGUUUUGGUUUAAAAGAUGGCUUCGGCUAUCACUUUAGGAUGGACCCGCGGCGUAUUAGCUUGUUGGUAAGGUAACGGCCUACCAAGGCAAUGAUACGUAGCCGACCUGAGAGGGUAGUCGGCCACAUUGGGACUGAGACACGGCCCAAACUCCUACGGGAGGCAGCAGUAGGGAAUCUUCCACAAUGGACGAAAGUCUGAUGGAGCAACGCCGCGUGAGUGAUGAAGGGUUUCGGCUCGUAAAACUCUGUUGUUGGAGAAGAACAGGUGUGAGAGUAACUGUUCACAUCUUGACGGUAUCCAACCAGAAAGCCACGGCUAACUACGUGCCAGCAGCCGCGGUAAUACGUAGGUGGCAAGCGUUGUCCGGAUUUAUUGGGCGUAAAGCGAGCGCAGGCGGUUUCUUAGGUCUGAUGUGAAAGCCUUCGGCUUAACCGGAGAAGUGCAUCGGAAACCAGGAGACUUGAGUGCAGAAGAGGACAGUGGAACUCCAUGUGUAGCGGUGAAAUGCGUAGAUAUAUGGAAGAACACCAGUGGCGAAGGCGGCUGUCUGGUCUGUAACUGACGCUGAGGCUCGAAAGCAUGGGUAGCGAACAGGAUUAGAUACCCUGGUAGUCCAUG
Molecule: ribosomal RNA, 674 nt
Filed under: uncultured bacterium
Lineage: Bacteria
Description: bacterial SSU rRNA
Rfam family: Bacterial small subunit ribosomal RNA
Source: RNAcentral